AUUGAACGCUGGCGGCAGGCCUAACACAUGCAAGUCGGGCGGUAGCACAGGAGAGCUUGCUCUCCGGGUGACGAGCGGCGGACGGGUGAGUAAUGUCUGGGAAACUGCCUGAUGGAGGAGGAUAACUACUGGAAACGGUAGCUAAUACCGCAUAACGUCGCAAGACCAAAGAGGGGGACCUUCGUGCCUCUUGCCAUCGGAUGUGCCCAGAUGGGAUUAGCUAGUAGGUGAGGUAAAGGCCCACCUAGGCGACGAUCCCUAGCUGGUCUGAGAGGAUGACCAGCCACACUGGAACUGAGACACGGUCCAGACUCCUACGGGAGGCAGCAGUGGGGAAUAUUGCACAAUGGGCGCAAGCCUGAUGCAGCCAUGCCGCGUGUAUGAAGAAGGCCUUCGGGUUGUAAAGUACUUUCAGCGGGGAGGAAGGUGUUGUGGUUAAUAACCACAGCAAUUGACGUUACCCGCAGAAGAAGCACCGGCUAACUCCGUGCCAGCCGCCGCCGUAA
RNAcentral lists this ribosomal RNA (506 nucleotides) under uncultured bacterium. Its description in RNAcentral is "partial 16S ribosomal RNA". It matches the Rfam family "Bacterial small subunit ribosomal RNA", at positions 30 to 523 of the family's 1533-position model. The record is from RNAcentral.